This 393-nucleotide ribosomal RNA is filed under the name uncultured bacterium. Its description in RNAcentral is "partial 16S ribosomal RNA". It matches the Rfam family "Bacterial small subunit ribosomal RNA", at positions 91 to 482 of the family's 1533-position model. The record is from RNAcentral.
GCGCACGGNGAACGGGUGNGUAACACNUGGGCAAUCUGCCCUCGGAUGGGGGGAUAACUCGCCGAAAGGCGAGCUAAUACCGCAUGACAUUAAAAAAAAAAAACGGUCUUUGGACUCAAAGGCCGCAAGGCCGUCUGAGGAGGAGCCCGCGCCCGAUUAGCUAGUUGGUGAGGUAACGGCUCACCAAGGCUUUGAUCGGUAGCCGGUCUGAGAGGAUGGCCGGCCACACUGGAACUGAGACACGGUCCAGACUCCUACGGGAGGCAGCAGUGGGGAAUAUUGCGCAAUGGGCGAAAGCCUGACGCAGCGACGCCGCGUGGGGGAUGAAGCUUCUCGGAGUGUAAACCCCUUUCGACCCGGACGAAUGACCCGCAAGGGUUUGACGGUACGGGU